This 464-nucleotide ribosomal RNA is filed under the name Vreelandella stevensii. RNAcentral describes it as "partial 16S ribosomal RNA". It matches the Rfam family "Bacterial small subunit ribosomal RNA", at positions 338 to 795 of the family's 1533-position model. The record is from RNAcentral. Lineage: Bacteria; Pseudomonadati; Pseudomonadota; Gammaproteobacteria; Oceanospirillales; Halomonadaceae.
CCUACGGGAGGCAGCAGUGGGGAAUAUUGGACAAUGGGCGAAAGCCUGAUCCAGCCAUGCCGCGUGUGUGAAGAAGGCCUUCGGGUUGUAAAGCACUUUCAGUGGGGAAGAAAGCCUUGGGGCUAAUACCCUCGAGGAAGGACAUCACCCACAGAAGAAGCACCGGCUAACUCCGUGCCAGCAGCCGCGGUAAUACGGAGGGUGCGAGCGUUAAUCGGAAUUACUGGGCGUAAAGCGCGCGUAGGCGGUCUGAUAAGCCGGUUGUGAAAGCCCCGGGCUCAACCUGGGAACGGCAUCCGGAACUGUCAGGCUAGAGUGCAGGAGAGGAAGGUAGAAUUCCCGGUGUAGCGGUGAAAGGCGUAGAGAUCGGGAGGAAUACCAGUGGCGAAGGCGGCCUUCUGGACUGACACUGACGCUGAGGUGCGAAAGCGUGGGUAGCAAACAGGAUUAGAUACCGUGUAGUC